UCUGGGGCAGGAGGCCGAACGAUACUGGGC
This 30-nucleotide non-coding RNA is filed under the name Mus musculus (house mouse). Lineage: Eukaryota; Metazoa; Chordata; Mammalia; Rodentia; Muridae. The record is from RNAcentral.